Molecule: long non-coding RNA, 1252 nt
Organism: Astatotilapia calliptera (eastern happy)
Lineage: Eukaryota; Metazoa; Chordata; Actinopteri; Cichliformes; Cichlidae
Source: Ensembl
GUUUCAGCUUAGUUUAUCUAAAACUUCAGUGCACGGUUGCAGGAAUCAGCUGACACAGAUCGCUGGCACAGGCUGGUUAGUUAUUUAAUGGUUUCAGCUUAGUUUAUCUAAAACUUCAGUGCACGGUUGCAGGGAUCAGCUGAAACAGAUCGCUGGUACAGGCUGGUUAGUUAUUUAAUGGUUUCAGCCAAGUUUAUCUAAAACUUCAGUGCGCGGUUGCAGGGAUCAGCUGACACAGAUCCCUUGCACAGGCUGGUUAGUUAUUUAAUGGUUUCAGCCAAGUUUAUCUAAAACUUCAGUGCGCGGUUGCAGGGAUCAGCUGACACAGAUCCCUGGCACAGGCUGGUUAGUUAUUUAAUGGUUUCAACUUAGUUUAUUUGAUCUAAAACUUCAGUGCACGGUUGCAGGGAUCCGCUGACACAGAUCGCUGUCACAGGCUGGUUAGUUAUUUAAAUGGUUUCAGGUUAGUUUAUUUGAUCUAAGACUUCAGUGCAUGGUCGCAAAGAUCAGCUGACACAGAUCCCUGACACACGCUGGUUAGUUAUUUAAUGGUUUCAGCUUAGUUUAUUUUCUCUAAAACUUCAGUGCACGGUUGCAGGGAUCAGCUGACACAGAUCGCUGGCACAGGCUGGUUAGUUAUUUAAAUGGUUUCAACUUAGUUUAUCAUAAAAAACUUCAGUGCACGGUUGCAGGAAUCAGCUGAAACAGAUCGCUGGCACAGGCUGGUUAGUUAUUUAAUGGUUUCAGCUUAGUUUAUCUAAAACUUCAGUGCACGGUUGCAGGGAUCAGCUGACACAGAUCGCUGGCACAGGCUGGUUAGUUAUUUAAUGGUUUCAGCUUAGUUUAUCUAAAACUUCAGUGCACGGUUGCAGGGAUCAGCUGACACAGAUCGCUGGCACAGGCUGGUUAGUUAUUUAAUGGUUUCAACUUAGUUUAUCUAAAACUUCAGUGCACGGUUGCAGGAAUCAGCUGACACAGAUCGCUGGCACAGGCUGGUUAGUUAUUUAAUGGUUUCGGUUUGGUUUAUUUUAUCUAAAACUUCAGUGCACGGUUGCAGGGAUCAGCUGACACAGAUCGCUGGCACAGGCUGGUUGGUUAUUUAAUGGUUUCAGCUUAGUUUAUUUGAUCUAAAACUUCAGUGCACGGUUGCAGGGAUCAGCUGACACAGAUCGCUGGCACAGGCUGGUUAGUUAUUUAAUGGUUUCAGCUUAGUUUAUUUGAUCUAAAACUUCAGUGCACGGUUGCAGGGAUC